This 250-nucleotide ribosomal RNA is filed under the name uncultured bacterium. RNAcentral describes it as "partial 16S ribosomal RNA". It matches the Rfam family "Bacterial small subunit ribosomal RNA", at positions 524 to 774 of the family's 1533-position model. The record is from RNAcentral.
UACGUAGGGGGCAAGCGUUGUCCGGAAUUAUUGGGCGUAAAGCGCGCGCAGGCGGUCAUGUAAGUCUGGUGUUUAAUCCCGGGGCUCAACCCCGGAUCGCACUGGAAACUGUGUGACUUGAGUGCAGAAGAGGAGAGUGGAAUUCCACGUGUAGCGGUGAAAUGCGUAGAUAUGUGGAGGAACACCAGUGGCGAAGGCGACUCUCUGGGCUGUAACUGACGCUGAGGCGCGAAAGCGUGGGGAGCAAACA